Pelmatolapia mariae (spotted tilapia) is the source of this 1678-nucleotide long non-coding RNA. RefSeq lists it as uncharacterized. The record is from RefSeq and is a predicted model, not a curated record. NCBI's taxonomy places the organism in Eukaryota, Metazoa, Chordata, Actinopteri, Cichliformes, Cichlidae. The transcript is spliced from 4 exons.
UCCAGCCUCUAAAUUUGAACAGGAGGGAGACGAGGUGACUGAGCAGACUUUUGUUGCUGCUUUCUCUCCCCGACUCUCUCCUUCCCGCUCGCCCUCGCUCUCUCUCACAACAUAUUAUUUUUCCCCUCCUCCCUCCAUUAGUGAGUGUGUGUGGAGAGAUUUGCGUUUUGCUAUGGAAGAGCAAGAGGAGGUGCAGAAUUUCAGCUAGAGAAAGACACAACAAGGGAGAAGAGAAGUAAAGAAAAUAGGAGGAAGAGGACAAGAAGUGGGACAAAAAGGCAAGAGAGAGCCCACGUUUCUCCUGCUCUCCCCCGCUCCCUCCUCCGCCAACGAGUUUUACCUCAAAAAGAGCAGAGGGACCAACUUCAAAAGGCAGUCAGGAGGGAGCUGGAGUGUGAAACGUGAGGAGAGAAGAAGAUGAGAGGCUGACCGGAGCUGUGCUUGCUGUGCUGUCCAGGACACAAGCAGAGCCCUGGAUCCACAGGUGACUCCUGGCAGUAAUGGGAGUGUUCGUGGAAGAACUCGCUCCUGAAGGCCCGUGAGAGGACACACAAAAGCCUUUUAGACCAGGUCAGGACAUGUCGGGGAACAGUUCAUGAACAUGAGACGCAUAUAACAACCAGCUGCCCACACGCCGUGUAGACAUCUUUCUUUUAUGGCUUAUAGUUUGACCAGGACAUGCGUGUGAUCUGUGACAGUAGGAGCUGCUUUUUAAUGCUUCACAUGUCUCUGUAAUGUAAACAUGUAAAUAAAGUAUUAAUGAAAUGUCCUUGUUUUCUGUUCUUUGACGAAAUGUACCAACGUUUUAACAUUUAUGGGAAAUGAAGAAUGCUAACACAGACAUGCUAGUGUUAGCUAACGGUUUUUCUUAUUCAUAUAUAAAACUUAUUCACUGUGUUGGGCGAUUUCUAGUUUUCUGCUUCAAACUUCAGUAUAAUUGUUGGCAUGCAAACACUAGCAUGCAGUAUUUUGUGAGCAGUGCAGUGUUUAAGAUAUGAGUGCUAACGUACCCCAGUAUCUUUGGUCACAUGUCAACAUGGUUAACAGUCCAACACCACACGUGGUGAAUUUUUAUACACUUUGAAAAAAUGUCUAGUCCGGUUUAAGCACAAUGCAACACAGUAUCUUUAAGUGGUACUGCUAAAACUGUGAUAUAUGCAGUGUACUAGUACCUCCAACCUAAUAGUAACAAUAUUCUCAAAAAAUAUACUAUUAAAUUUGAUACGUAGGUCACAGGAGAAUCCUCACGUUCCUCCGGUCCAUGCAGCAUAGUUCAUUCUACCUCAUCCUGCCUCCCCAUCCUUACUGAUUCACCACAUUUCCAAGAAGUACUUUGAACACCCCGAGAGUUCUGUCUGGACUUGUUACUUCCACAUAGCUGUUGGUUUAAUAUUGGACGGUGAUAACGAGACGGAUUAUGGACACAUAAAGCUUCUUUUGCAGAAGGAUUAGUGAGUGCAAAGAUGGUAUGAGAGUACACUGGGCCUGUACCUUCUCCAGAGUUCAUCCUAUGGUUGGUGAAAUCAGAUCAUAGCUAUAGCUUCACACACACACAUACAGGGAAGAUGAUGCUGUAAAUAAUAAUGUAUUUUUUGGGAAAAUCAAACAAUAUCAAUUUAGAAUAAAGGAACAUUUUUUUGUGUUCAUUGAAAUAAUCUUUGAAUAAAGUGACGCACUA